CUGGCCGUAAACGAUGGAUACUAGGUGUAGAGGGUAUCGACCCCUUCUGUGCCGCAGCGAACGCAAUAAGUAUCCCGCCUGGGGAGUACGGUCGCAAGACUGAAACUCAAAGGAAUUGACGGGGGCCCGCACAAGCAGUGGAGCAUGUGGUUUAAUUCGACGCAACCCGAAGAACCUUACCAGGUCUUGACAUUUAUGGAACGAGGCAGAGAUGCCUUGGUGCCCUUUCGGGGGAACCAUAAAACAGGUGG
RNAcentral lists this ribosomal RNA (251 nucleotides) under uncultured Bacillota bacterium. Its description in RNAcentral is "uncultured Firmicutes bacterium partial 16S ribosomal RNA". It matches the Rfam family "Bacterial small subunit ribosomal RNA", at positions 796 to 1041 of the family's 1533-position model. The record is from RNAcentral. Lineage: Bacteria; Bacillati; Bacillota.